AUCAUGCAGCACUAGUUGUGUGAGUCUCUUCCUAAGAGCAUCUUACAUGAAGAGGAAGAGAGAGUGAUGCAGCCAAGGAUGACUUGCCGGCGUUACACUGCAUGCCCUUCACGGUAACUUUGUCGGCAAGUGGUUCUUGGCUACGUUUGGCUCUUUUCUUAUCAUGUAAAUACUCGCUAGGAUCAAUUAUUGCAUCAGAAACUCCUUCACUUGCAUACACUGCUACAAGAUUGUGUAUGUUUUUCUGGGAGAAACUGUGUAAAAGGUUUGUGUUGCAGUAUAUACAAUGGAGACUUGAAAGCUAUUUGACAGAUGCAGAACAAAAAUAGAAAACAUUAUUGGAAAACUAAAAGCUGUUUAUGAGAUGUUUUGGUAAAAAUAUGAAGGUUUGUAGAGAUCAAGAUAACAUGUCAGCAUACAGCCAGACCAAGAAACAGAGAAUUGAAAUUUUGAACAGGUAGUCCAUUCAUGCCAUACAUUAUGGUCAUUUUCUUUGACCAAUUGAACAUUGCACCAAAAAAACCACAUAUUGAUGAAGGUGAUGUGACUGAGAGUAAACAAAAAUUACAAAAAACAAACAUAUAUUUACUCUUUUGUGUUUCUACUUCAAUUUUUUCUUCUUUCUUCUUAUUACAUAACACUGUGGAUCACAUUGAAGAUUUUAAUUAUUAGGUCCGAACAGUGAUAGUUUAGUAUGGUGACAAUGUACAUCACGGUGUGAAAGUGAAAUAGGCACGUUUAUCUGUGCACUGUCCAUGUCCAUGUGCAAGAAAAAAUGCUUAAUUGCAUGCACAUGCUGAACUUUUUUGUACCUGGGGCCAUCCAAAGUGGACCAAACAAUUAUAUCUCUGCUUCUUUUGUACAUUUUGAGUCUCCCAAAAUGAUUCCUGAAAUGCAUCAUGUGCAGCAGUUAUGUGUCAUUGGUACGUAAGCAAAAAUUAUUUUUCUUUUCACAUCUCUAUAUUAUAUGUAUAUUAUUACUAAACAUUACUUUAAAAGUUAUCUGCAAUAUUCAUGUGUCUAUGAUGUUCCAUCAUCAUUGAUUUAUGGAUAGCAUUUAUGAAGAUGUAAUUUUCAUAAGAGUGGACCACUCAACAUCUCAUUUUUUUUUCUUACUUUAAAAACUAAUCUAGGGUUUUGUCUUACUCUUUUGUUUAAACUCGGUUUUCUUCUUCUAAAACUACCUUCAUUUUCUAAAACUCCCUUUACAUUAUAAUGAUUUUCAUCACUGUCAUUUUCUUAAAAAAUAUGGAUAGUAAACAAUAAAAUUUUUUCCAUUUCUUCUCUAUUUGCCGAAAAAGAUCUUCCAAAAAAAAUCCAAUAUUCUUUCUUAAACCUUUUUCUCUCAAAAGAGAAUUGAAAUUUGGAAUUCAUGAUAAAGAGACCUUAAGAGGAGAAAGUUUCUUCCAACAUUUUUUACUUGAUGUGGGACUUCUCCUUCACAUUUCUCUGUUCAUGUUCUUCACAGAUUUCUCACAUCACUGUUAGAAACUCAAACCUUACAAGGGAAUAAACAGAUAGACAUAAAAGGGUAUUCGAAGCCUUUCACGAAUGAAAAUACACAGACAGAAGAUAAAAUGACAGACAUCUACCGAGAAAGAGCCUGUCAGAGACACUAGUUAAGAAAACAAGAGUGAAAAAUCUUCUUUUGAUAUUCAUAUUGUAUCUAUGUACUGUAAAAUUUGGCUAAAGCGAUUUCAUAGUUUUGCAUGUUUAGGAUGUUGAAGUUGCAGUGCAAUUUUGGUAUGAAAAAAUUUACUUAUUUUUCCUUAAAC
Molecule: long non-coding RNA, 1775 nt
Organism: Vigna radiata var. radiata (mung bean)
Lineage: Eukaryota; Viridiplantae; Streptophyta; Magnoliopsida; Fabales; Fabaceae
Exons: 3
Source: RefSeq, a predicted model, not a curated record